AAAUAAGCCCUUUUCAGGGCUACAAUGUCAAUAUAAAGAGAGAUA
Molecule: non-coding RNA, 45 nt
Organism: Nicotiana sylvestris (wood tobacco)
Lineage: Eukaryota; Viridiplantae; Streptophyta; Magnoliopsida; Solanales; Solanaceae
Source: Rfam